RNAcentral lists this ribosomal RNA (253 nucleotides) under uncultured bacterium. Its description in RNAcentral is "partial 16S ribosomal RNA". It matches the Rfam family "Bacterial small subunit ribosomal RNA", at positions 524 to 776 of the family's 1533-position model. The record is from RNAcentral.
UACGUAGGGUGCAAGCGUUGUCCGGAAUUAUUGGGCGUAAAGAGCUCGUAGGCGGUUCGUCGCGUCGGCUGUGAAAUCCCUCGGCUUAACCGAGGACGUGCGGAAGAAACUGCAAGGCUCGAGUCCGGAAGAGGGGGGCGGAAUUCCCAGUGUAGCGGUGAAAUGCGUAGAUAUUGGGAGGAACACCAGUGGCGAAGGCGGUCCCCUGGGCCGGAACUGACGCUGAGGCGCGAAAGCGUGGGUAGCAAACGGG